Molecule: long non-coding RNA, 1538 nt
Filed under: Lynx pardinus (Iberian lynx)
Lineage: Eukaryota; Metazoa; Chordata; Mammalia; Carnivora; Felidae
Source: RNAcentral
UGAAUUCCGUCCUUCUCUCACCUUGGCCCCUUCCCGGCUAUCUAGGUCUGAUUCCACCCCCAGCUUGUCCAGGAAGGAGCAGGUGAGGGGCUAAAGUCGCGGACACCCCACGCUAGGCCCUCCCUGGACCCUGAGCCUGCUUCCUCUCUCCUCCCUUCAAAAACUCAGGAAGGGCACAGCCAGGCGACCAGCACGUGGAGCCCACUGAGGGGCACACACUCCAGGCUCUGCUGCCCCGGGGGUGCCCGCUACCGACCCCACCCAUCCUGGGACCAACUCGUUCCCCACCGGCCUUCCGGGGCCCGGUCGGCGGAGCUGGGGGAGACAGAGGAGUCCCCCCACGGGUGCGGUCCCGGGCCCCCUGAAAAUGGCCACGUGGAGACAGAAAGCUGCGCGCAUGCGCACACCCAGCCCAAGGACAGAAAGGCUAGAGAGAACCCGACAAAGAGAUGGAGAUGGGCCAGCGACUAAGGCAGAGACAAAUGGGGCUCCAGGAGAGCGCGAUAGGCAGGAAAUCCUUCUAAACCAGGACACUGCCCCGAAACGUUAUUGCUGUUAUUACUAUUAGCUUGAUGCAAAGGAGCAAGCGGGAGCGAGGAUCCAGCGCGGGCGAGGCCCGCUGCCACGCGCCUCCAGGCGCUGCUGGCAGCCAUUUUAGCCCUUGGCAGCCAUCUUACGGCUGGCGGCCCAGCCAGCGUCCCCACAAUGCCACCCCCGCCGGCCCCCGGCAUGCUCAGCUCGGCUCCAGGACAAAAGGCAGAAACACUGGAAAUCUGGACCCAGGCUCGGAGGCUCAGGAGGCAGCCCUGCAGCAGGGGCAGCUUCAGCCAGGGCCCCACCGUCCUGCUCCAGCGUGCGGCACCCCCUUCACCCUCGGGGGGCCAGCACCCCGCAGAAGGAGAAGGGAGGGUUGAGGCAGGGGCCCUGGGGACGCCACGUGCUACUCCAAGGCAGCCGAAGCCCCCCACGGGCCAUCCCCGGGCCCAGGGGCUCAACUAGGACCCCUGCCCUGGCAGGACAGGGAGGGACACGAGGGGGGGCAGGCCCUCGUCCACCCAGUGGGCUUAGGGGUGCGCCUUGGACGGACGGGGGCAGGUGACUGGCAGGAACCCAUACAGCAGCCGUGGGGCCCAAACCGGCCACCGGGCCCUGGUGGACAGGCUUCUAGGGAGGGUAAGGAGAACCACCCCCCCCACCCCCACCCCAGGAGUGGGAGCCCCCUGGGCCGGCCUUUGUGGGCUCUUUGGGGAGCCGCGCCUGGAGGUCGGGGCUUGCUCUAGACAACCCUCCGGGAUCAGAAGCCCUCUGGGAUCAGCCUAGCCCACCGGGGGGCACGCCAACCCAGCAUCGUGACUCCCUUCCCUGUUGGGCUCCCUGGGGGAGGGGAUAACCCCAGGCCUCAGGACAGACAGGAGGAAGGUCCCUUUAUGACACCCCUCCCCACGCCCCGCCUCAUGGCUGCUCAGCUUUUAUCUGGCAGAAUGGGGCUUAUCAGAGCCACCAGCUGAACAAACAUACAAAUCCACGGUUAGUGAGAA